RNAcentral lists this ribosomal RNA (551 nucleotides) under Nichomachus sp. KM-2011. RNAcentral describes it as "partial 16S ribosomal RNA". It matches the Rfam family "Archaeal large subunit ribosomal RNA", at positions 1888 to 2691 of the family's 2987-position model. Lineage: Eukaryota; Metazoa; Arthropoda; Insecta; Hemiptera; Miridae. The record is from RNAcentral.
UCGCCUGUUUAUCAAAAACAUAUUUUAUUGUUUAUAUAAUAAAUAUAACCUGCCCAAUGAUUUAUUAAAUGGCUGCAGUAUUUUGACUGUACAAAGGUAGCAUAAUAAUUUGUCUCUUGAUUAGAGUCUAGGAUGAAUGGUUGAAUGAAAGAUGAUCUUUCUUUAUAUUAUAAAUUGAAUUUAGCUUUUAAGUUAAAAGGCUUAAAUUUGUUUAAGGGACGAGAAGACCCUAUAGAAUUUUAUUAUUUGGUUAAUCAAGGUAUUUUUGAUAAUAUAUUAUUUUGAUUGAUUUUAUAAUUUUGUUGGGGUGACAGAAAAAAUAUAAUAACUUUUUUUUAUUAAUUCAUUUAUUUAUGGUUUAUAUUAUCCUCUUUUUGAGAAUUAAGAUUAAAUUACCUUAGGGAUAACAGCGUUAUUGCUUUGGAGAGUUCUUAUCGAUAAAGUAGUUUGCGACCUCGAUGUUGGAUUAAAAUAAGUGAUAGGAGUAUAAUUUUAUCAUUAAAGUCUGUUCGACUUUUAAAUUUUUACAUGAUCUGAGUUCAAACCGGAGA